This 310-nucleotide ribosomal RNA is filed under the name uncultured eukaryote. Its description in RNAcentral is "partial 18S ribosomal RNA". It matches the Rfam family "Eukaryotic small subunit ribosomal RNA", at positions 1470 to 1796 of the family's 1831-position model. The record is from RNAcentral.
CCCUUAGAUGUUCUGGGCGGCCCGCGCACUACAAUGGCGCUUUCAGCGAGUUCCUAUGUUGAAUUUUCCUGGGUAUUCUUGGAAGCGGCGUCUUGACUUGGGAUAGAUCCUUGUAAUUGUUGGUUUUGAACGAGGAAUUCCUUGUAAUCGCGGUUGAUCAGCUCGCGUUGAAUACGUCCCUGUCCUUUGUACACACCGCCCGUCGCUCCUACCGAUGAAUCGUCCGGUGAAGUUCACAGAGUGGCGGUUCGUGGAGUUGCUCGCGAAGUGAAAUGGACCUCACGAUUUAGAGGAAGGAGAAGUCGUAACA